Molecule: ribosomal RNA, 472 nt
Filed under: uncultured bacterium
Lineage: Bacteria
Description: bacterial SSU rRNA
Rfam family: Bacterial small subunit ribosomal RNA
Source: RNAcentral
ACUCCUACGGGAGGCAGCAGUGGGGAAUAUUGCACAAUGGGCGCAAGCCUGAUGCAGCCAUGCCGCGUGUGUGAAGAAGGCCUUCGGGUUGUAAAGCACUUUCAGUUGUGAGGAAGGUGGUGUCGUUAAUAGCGGCAUCAUUUGACGUUAGCAACAGAAGAAGCACCGGCUAACUCCGUGCCAGCAGCCGCGGUAAUACGGAGGGUGCGAGCGUUAUCCGGAUUUAUUGGGUUUAAAGGGUCCGUAGGCGGAUUAAUAAGUCAGUGGUGAAAUCCCAUCGCUUAACGAUGGAACUGCCAUUGAUACUGUUAGUCUUGAAUGAGGGUGCAGUGGUUGGAAUGUGUAGUGUAGCGGUGAAAUGCAUAGAUAUUACACAGAACACCGAUUGCAAGGCAGAUCACUAACCCUAAAUUGACGCUGAGGGACGAAAGCGUGGGGAGCGAACAGGAUUAGAUACCCUGGUAGCACAGAG